RNAcentral lists this unclassified non-coding RNA (487 nucleotides) under Hevea brasiliensis (rubber tree). Lineage: Eukaryota; Viridiplantae; Streptophyta; Magnoliopsida; Malpighiales; Euphorbiaceae. The record is from RNAcentral.
UUUAAUUUCCUAUGCCUGGCCUCCUAUGGGCAUGCCUUGGUGCACCUCGAUGAUGUGUCGCGCCUUUCUUCCCUUCGGGCGAUGCCUGCUGCACCUGAGGUGCACUUGAUAACAGUGGGGCUAGCAAUAAACCUUUGACUCCAAUAACAAAUAUGGGCAUGGUACUUUGGACUUGAUUGCCCUGCUUGACGAUAUGUCAAAAAAGGUACAUUGCGAAGCCCCCCUUAUGCAUUCUCGUAACACAUGCAAUUCCUUAUAGGAAAUAAGGUGUACCUCUAUCAUUAGCAACUGUUUUCAGUAUAAAUGGUGUCACAUGAUCCUAAUAGCUCAUAGGUUAAAUGUGUUUGGGUCGCAACAGCAUAAGAAUGGGCAACCUACCAAGAAGUUGUCAACUAGUAUCAAAACAGGUUGCAAGCUUUAAGUCCAAGGGUCAUUAUUGAGGGAGCAAUCACAAUGUGGGUAAGGUACUCUAGGGACUAAACACCCU